This is a long non-coding RNA of Hibiscus syriacus, 157 nucleotides long. RefSeq lists it as uncharacterized. NCBI's taxonomy places the organism in Eukaryota, Viridiplantae, Streptophyta, Magnoliopsida, Malvales, Malvaceae. The transcript is spliced from 3 exons. The record is from RefSeq and is a predicted model, not a curated record.
GUGCGGUGGGUCGUCCGUGACCGGGGCUGCGGUGGACUUUCGUUUCGACAUUUCCCUUUUGGGGGUCGAGGGAAGACAGGGUUUGGAGGAGUGGUCUUUUGGCGGAGAAUAUCAAAAUGUGAUUCUUCUCAUCUGAUAUGAUGAAUAUAUAUAUAUA